This 76-nucleotide transfer RNA is filed under the name Lentisphaeria bacterium. Its description in RNAcentral is "tRNA-Glu". It matches the Rfam family "tRNA". From Rfam's summary of the family: Transfer RNA (tRNA) molecules are approximately 80 nucleotides in length. Their secondary structure includes four short double-helical elements and three loops (D, anti-codon, and T loops). Further hydrogen bonds mediate the characteristic L-shaped molecular structure. tRNAs have two regions of fundamental functional importance: the anti-codon, which is responsible for specific mRNA codon recognition, and the 3' end, to which the tRNAs corresponding amino acid is attached (by aminoacyl-tRNA synthetases). tRNAs cope with the degeneracy of the genetic code in two manners: having more than one tRNA (with a specific anti-codon) for a particular amino acid; and 'wobble' base-pairing, i.e. permitting non-standard base-pairing at the 3rd anti-codon position. The record is from RNAcentral. RNAcentral also lists the same sequence under 1 other name. Lineage: Bacteria; Pseudomonadati; Lentisphaerota; Lentisphaeria.
GUUCCCAUCGUCUAGAGGCCUAGGACACCAGGUUUUCAUCCUGGUAACACGGGUUCGAAUCCCGUUGGGAAUGCCA